UACAGAGGUCUCAAGCGUUGUUCGGAUUCAUUGGGCGUAAAGGGCGCGUAGGCGGCCACGACAAGUCACUUGUGAAAUCUCCGGGCUUAACUCGGAACGGUCAAGUGAUACUGUCGGGCUAGAGUGCAGAAGGGGCAACUGGAAUUCUCGGUGUAGCGGUGAAAUGCGUAGAUAUCGAGAGGAACACCUGCGGCGAAGGCGGGUUGCUGGGCUGACACUGACGCUGAGGCGCGAAAGCCAGGGGAGCGAACGGG
RNAcentral lists this ribosomal RNA (254 nucleotides) under uncultured bacterium. RNAcentral's name for it is "partial 16S ribosomal RNA". It matches the Rfam family "Bacterial small subunit ribosomal RNA", at positions 524 to 776 of the family's 1533-position model. The record is from RNAcentral.